UGCAACAUUACUUGGUGAUGCUGUAGGCAC
This 30-nucleotide unclassified non-coding RNA is filed under the name Dictyostelium discoideum. Lineage: Eukaryota; Evosea; Eumycetozoa; Dictyosteliales; Dictyosteliaceae. The record is from RNAcentral.